AUUGAACACUGGCGGCAGGCUUAACACAUGCAAGUCGAGCGGUAGCACAGGGGAGCUUGCUCCCUGGGUGACGAGCGGCGGACGGGUGAGUAAUGUCUGGGAAACUGCCUGAUGGCGGGGGAUAACUACUGGAAACGGUAGCUAAUACCGCAUAACGUCGCAAGACGAAAGAGGGGGACCUUCGGGCCUCUUGCCAUCAGAUGUGCCCAGAUGGGAUUAGCUAGUAGGUGGGGUAAUGGCUCACCUAGGCGACGAUCUCUAGCUGGUCUGAGAGGAUGACCAGCCACACUGGAACUGAGACACGGUCCAGACUCCUACGGGAGGCAGCAGUGGGGAAUAUUGGACAAUGGGCGCAAGCCUGAUGCAGCCAUGCCGCGUGUGUGAAGAAGGCCUUCGGGUUGUAAAGCACUUUCAGCGGGGAGGAAGGUGGUGAGCUUAAUACGUUCAUCAAUUGACGUUACUCGCAGAAGAAGCACCGGCUAACUCCGUG
RNAcentral lists this ribosomal RNA (490 nucleotides) under uncultured bacterium. RNAcentral describes it as "partial 16S ribosomal RNA". It matches the Rfam family "Bacterial small subunit ribosomal RNA", at positions 30 to 507 of the family's 1533-position model. The record is from RNAcentral.